UUAAUAAUGCAGAUGACCAAGGCUUUUUUCUUAAAGUAAGUAUCAAUAAAUUGUAGUGAAAGCACUGGAAUUCGCAGAAAAUAUGAUCUUGAUGUUCAGAACCGACAUUGGCAUUGUUUUGGGUGUUGGGCUGGCGAUUGUUGUCCUAUUUCUAUGGAUUAUCUUGGUUCCUAGGAUCACGAGAUUCAAACCAGUGUAUGUUAAAUGCGACCAAUUUCAAAUGACAGUUGUUAUUUUGGAAGUGAAUGUUGAUUCCAUUAUUCCUCUAAAGUGUAUAAAACUUGAAAAGAAUUUACAUAAAGAUUAUUACAUAUCCAUACCAUAUGCAGUUCCAAAAACAAAGAGGAUUUUCCUGAUAGAUUCCGAAUGUUACUAUCAAAGAUGCUUAAGAUACAGAGUUAAUGUUCAAAAUUUUAUAUGGUCGGGGUACAGUGAAGAAA
Long non-coding RNA from Saccostrea cuccullata (small rock oyster), 440 nucleotides. RefSeq lists it as uncharacterized. NCBI's taxonomy places the organism in Eukaryota, Metazoa, Mollusca, Bivalvia, Ostreida, Ostreidae. The record is from RefSeq and is a predicted model, not a curated record. The transcript has 3 exons.